Molecule: non-coding RNA, 74 nt
Organism: Apaloderma vittatum (bar-tailed trogon)
Lineage: Eukaryota; Metazoa; Chordata; Aves; Trogoniformes; Trogonidae
Source: Rfam
GUGUCGGUCAGCUCAGUCAGUAGAGCGUAGCGCUAACAACGCUAAGGUCGUGGGUUCGAUUCCCGUUUGGUCCC